GGCUAAGCCCGUGUGGAAGGUGUGGUUUGAAGAGAAAUGCAGAGCCUGUGAAAGCCUUUGAUCACCUGUGAAUGAUGAAGCUCUGGCCUCAGGGAGACGUUUCCUAUCUGGCUGAACAUGAUGCUUCUGCUACUGGAAAGACUGCAUGGACCCAGAAAGAAUGUGUGGAUUUCUCUUCUUCAUACUGGAUGGACUGGAUUUGAGGCAGAAAUAUACGCUGCUCCUGACUCACCCAGGGCAGCUCCACAUUUCCCAACCCCAUUUAAAUGAGCGAGAGAAAUAUCACCAGUUUUGCUAGUGGGAUAAAAUUGGAAACAGAAGGAGGUCACUGUCAUGUGCAUUUCAACUGUCUUAGGGGGUUUUCUUUUUCUUUGCAUUUAGCUCCUGGGAUAUUUGGGUUGUUUAUGCCCCCAGGGCAUGACUCCCCCAUUCUGUCUAAACAGCUUUACCCAAAUUUCUUCAUCUCCCACAGCUAGUUGAGCAUGAGUAUUUUUAAAACUAUGUUCUCAAGUGGCCUUAUCAAACAUUUUCUCCAUCCUCAGUGUCACUGCUCUAGGUUCCAGAAAGUACAAGAAUCUCUGUGUCCCCAAAGCAUCUGGUCCUCAAUGCUACUGAAAAAUGCCCACAUAUCACAGGGUAGGGAUUCCGCUGCCAUGAUCCUCAGAAAUGUACUCAUAUGACCCAAGCCGCCAUUUCAUGCUUAUCCCUCUUUGCUUAUCAGACGACAGCAAUCGAAGUUACUCUGACAGUAGGGGAAGAUAAGGGAAUAUAUAUUUGUGUUUGUGUGUGUGUGUGUAGAGGUAGUAGUUGCAGGGGAUUUUGAACAUAUGGCUCUAAUCUCUGACUGGAAAGUUGGGAGGGUUUGUGUAGUGUAGGAAAGGAAAAGCAACUGUUUGGUAAGUAGAACUUUGACAAGAGUGGGAUUAGCAAGGAUCCCCCCAGUCUACCAGAACCCAAAGUUAUCUAUGGUGAUGACCUGUCCUGAUGACAGGCCUUUAUUUUAAAUUUCUUCUAGGCAGUUAGGGGGGAAAGGUCAAACUUCUUGCUGAGUCUGAGCCUUUAUUGUCUUCAGCUCAAAAUAAUCCGUGCGCCGAGGUGGCGCAUGUUGGGGUGGCCUGCCCUGAAUCCCAUCAAUGGGAAUCCCAGAUGAAGUACAGAUUUGUAUUUUUAAAAAAGGAUUAAUUGUAACUCAUAUUUUAUAUGACUUCUUUAUUUACAAAAGGAAUAAAUUUUGUGGAAAUUUCAGCAAAAAUGAAGUGUAAAGGCUGGUGGUAACCAUUUAAUGCCCUGGGGUUGAGAAAGUAGCAUUGACUUAUGUGAAAGUUAUAUGAACUGUAGAAUCUGUUAAACCUUCCGAUCCUUUCCUUUGGGAUACACACAUAAAUUUCUAUGGAUAUUGUUGAACUUAGACUUUCUAUAACCACUGGGCAGAGGGUCAAUAUUAACUUAUUUUACUAAAAAGUUGAUCACUCAGACUUCCACAUUAAUUGGCAUUGAGUUGUGCAAAUAAAUCCAGUAAGUUUUCCAUCAUGUUCUUCCUUUGACUCGUAGGGCUUUGAAAAUCCUUCUAAGGUGCUUUGGUUCUACUUGCCUGCUCAGAAUUUAAACGAUGCUGACAAUAAGUAGUCUGAAGUUUAGGAAAGAAC
Long non-coding RNA from Equus asinus (donkey), 1646 nucleotides. The record is from Ensembl. NCBI's taxonomy places the organism in Eukaryota, Metazoa, Chordata, Mammalia, Perissodactyla, Equidae.